GUGCUCGCUUCGGCAGCACAUAUACUAAAAUAAGAAUGAUACAGAGAAGAUUAGCAUGACCCCUGCACAAGGAUGACAUACAGAUUUGUGAAGCAUUCCAUUUUUUU
Small nuclear RNA from Phodopus roborovskii (desert hamster), 107 nucleotides. NCBI's taxonomy places the organism in Eukaryota, Metazoa, Chordata, Mammalia, Rodentia, Cricetidae. The record is from RefSeq and is a predicted model, not a curated record.